Molecule: transfer RNA, 72 nt
Filed under: bacterium
Lineage: Bacteria
Description: tRNA-Arg
Rfam family: tRNA
About the family: Transfer RNA (tRNA) molecules are approximately 80 nucleotides in length. Their secondary structure includes four short double-helical elements and three loops (D, anti-codon, and T loops).
Source: RNAcentral
GCCUCUAUAGCUCAAUGGAUAGAGCAAUUCCGUCCUAAGGAAGAGAUCUAGGUUCGACUCCUAGUGGAGGCA